This 447-nucleotide ribosomal RNA is filed under the name uncultured bacterium. RNAcentral's name for it is "bacterial SSU rRNA". It matches the Rfam family "Bacterial small subunit ribosomal RNA", at positions 328 to 792 of the family's 1533-position model. The record is from RNAcentral.
UGCCCAGACUCCUACGGGAGGCAGCAGUGGGGAAUAUUGCACAAUGGGGGAAACCCUGAUGCAGCGACGCCGCGUGAGUGAAGAAGUAAUUCGUUAUGUAAAGCUCUAUCAGCAGGGAAGAAAAUGACGGUACCUGAGUAAGAAGCCCCGGCUAACUACGUGCCAGCAGCCGCGGUAAUACGUAGGGGGCAAGCGUUAUCCGGAUUUACUGGGUGUAAAGGGCGUGUAGGCGGGGAAGCAAGUCAGAUGUGAAAUUCCAGGGCUCAACCCUGGAACUGCAUUUGAAACUGUUUUUCUUGAGUGAUGGAGAGGCAGGCGGAAUUCCGUGUGUAGCGGUGAAAUGCGUAGAUAUACGGAGGAACACCAGUGGCGAAGGCGGCCUGCUGGACAUUAACUGACGCUGAGGCGCGAAAGCGUGGGGAGCAAACAGGAUUAGAUACCCGUGUA